RNAcentral lists this ribosomal RNA (467 nucleotides) under uncultured bacterium. RNAcentral describes it as "partial 16S ribosomal RNA". It matches the Rfam family "Bacterial small subunit ribosomal RNA", at positions 28 to 506 of the family's 1533-position model. The record is from RNAcentral.
GACGAACGCUGGCGGCGUGCUUAACACAUGCAAGUCGAACGGAAAGGCCCUGCUUUUGUGGGGUGCUCGAGUGGCGAACGGGUGAGUAACACGUGAGUAACCUGCCCUUGACUUUGGGAUAACUUCAGGAAACUGGGGCUAAUACCGGAUAGGAGCUCCUGCUGCAUGGUGGGGGUUGGAAAGUUUCGGCGGUUGGGGAUGGACUCGCGGCUUAUCAGCUUGUUGGUGGGGUAGUGGCUUACCAAGGCUUUGACGGGUAGCCGGCCUGAGAGGGUGACCGGCCACAUGGGGACGGAGAUACGGCCCAGACUCCUACGGGAGGCAGCAGUGGGGAAUAUGGCACAAUGGGCGGAAGCCGGAUGCAGCAACGCCGCGUGCGGGAUGACGGCCUUCGGGUUGUAAACCGCUUUCGCCUGUGACGAAGCGUGAGUGACGGUAAUGGGGAAAGAAGCACCGGCUAACUACGU